This 234-nucleotide ribosomal RNA is filed under the name uncultured bacterium. RNAcentral's name for it is "partial 16S ribosomal RNA". It matches the Rfam family "Bacterial small subunit ribosomal RNA", at positions 118 to 351 of the family's 1533-position model. The record is from RNAcentral.
UGAGUAACCUGCCCUUAACUCUGGGAUAAGCCUGGGAAACUGGGUCUAAUACCGGAUAUGACUCCUCAUCGCAUGGUGGGGGGUGGAAAGCUUUAUUGUGGUAUUGGAUGGACUCGCGGCCUAUCAGCUUGUUGGUGAGGUAAUGGCUCACCAAGGCGACGACGGGUAGCCGGCCUGAGAGGGUGACCGGCCACACUGGGACUGAGACACGGCCCAGACUCCUACGGGAGGCAG